This 346-nucleotide ribosomal RNA is filed under the name Pristimantis sp. TH 668. RNAcentral's name for it is "partial large subunit ribosomal RNA". It matches the Rfam family "Bacterial large subunit ribosomal RNA", at positions 1675 to 2276 of the family's 2925-position model. Lineage: Eukaryota; Metazoa; Chordata; Amphibia; Anura; Strabomantidae. The record is from RNAcentral.
AACAUUUCAAGAAAGAUUAAAAGAAAAAGAAGGAAUUCGGCAAAUAUUAGCUCCGCCUGUUUACCAAAAACACCGCCUCUUGUAUAUAUAAGAGGUCCAGCCUGCCCAGUGACUUCUGUUCAACGGCCGCGGUAUCCUAACCGUGCAAAGGUAGCGUAAUCACUUGUCUUCUAAAUAGAGACUAGUAUGAAAGGCAUCACGAGAGUUAAACUGUCUCCUCUCUCUAAUCAGUGAACCUAAUAACCCCGUGAAGAAGCGGGGGUAUUUAUAUAAGACGAGAAGACCCUAUGGAGCUUAAAACAUCAUAACACCUGCCACCCCAUUUAUUUACCCCGGUUUUCAUCCC